This 875-nucleotide ribosomal RNA is filed under the name uncultured soil bacterium. Its description in RNAcentral is "bacterial SSU rRNA". It matches the Rfam family "Bacterial small subunit ribosomal RNA", at positions 9 to 873 of the family's 1533-position model. The record is from RNAcentral.
GAGUUUGAUCAUGGCUCAAAUUGAACGCUGGCGGCAUGCCUUACACAUGCAAGUCGGACGGCAGCACGGGAGCAAUCCUGGUGGCGAGUGGCGAACGGGUGAGUAAUACAUCGGAACGUGUCCUGGAGUGGGGGAUAGCCCGGCGAAAGCCGGAUUAAUACCGCAUACGCUCUGAGGAGGAAAGCGGGGGAUCUUUCGGGACCUCGCGCUCAAGGGGCGGCCGAUGGCAGAUUAGCUAGUUGGUGGGGUAAAGGCCUACCAAGGCGACGAUCUGUAGCUGGUCUGAGAGGACGACCAGCCACACUGGGACUGAGACACGGCCCAGACUCCUACGGGAGGCAGCAGUGGGGAAUUUUGGACAAUGGGCGCAAGCCUGAUCCAGCAAUGCCGCGUGUGUGAAGAAGGCCUUCGGGUUGUAAAGCACUUUUGUCCGGAAAGAAAACUUCUGGGUUAAUACCCUGGGAGGAUGACGGUACCGGAAGAAUAAGCACCGGCUAACUACGUGCCAGCAGCCGCGGUAAUACGUAGGGUGCAAGCGUUAAUCGGAAUUACUGGGCGUAAAGCGUGCGCAGGCGGUUUUGUAAGUCAGAUGUGAAAUCCCCGGGCUUAACCUGGGAACUGCGUUUGAAACUACAAGGCUAGAGUGUGGCAGAGGGGGGUGGAAUUCCACGUGUAGCAGUGAAAUGCGUAGAGAUGUGGAGGAACACCGAUGGCGAAGGCAGCCCCCUGGGUUAACACUGACGCUCAGGCACGAAAGCGUGGGGAGCAAACAGGAUUAGAUACCCUGGUAGUCCACGCCCUAAACGAUGUCAACUAGUUGUCGGGUCUUAACGGGCUUGGUAACGCAGCUAACGCGUGAAGUUGACCAAUCACUA